Molecule: ribosomal RNA, 954 nt
Filed under: Bacteroides sp. 1BL
Lineage: Bacteria; Pseudomonadati; Bacteroidota; Bacteroidia; Bacteroidales; Bacteroidaceae
Description: bacterial SSU rRNA
Rfam family: Bacterial small subunit ribosomal RNA
Source: RNAcentral
GGAUAGGGGUUCUGAGAGGAAGGUCCCCCACAUUGGAACUGAGACACGGUCCAAACUCCUACGGGAGGCAGCAGUGAGGAAUAUUGGUCAAUGGGCGCUAGCCUGAACCAGCCAAGUAGCGUGAAGGAUGAAGGCUCUAUGGGUCGUAAACUUCUUUUAUAUAAGAAUAACGUGCAGUAUGUAUACUGUGUUGUAUGUAUUAUAUGAAUAAGGAUCGGCUAACUCCGUGCCAGCAGCCGCGGUAAUACGGAGGAUCCGAGCGUUAUCCGGAUUUAUUGGGUUUAAAGGGAGCGUAGGUGGACUGGUAAGUCAGUUGUGAAAGUUUGCGGCUCAACCGUAAAAUUGCAGUUGAUACUGUNAGUCUUGAGUACAGUAGAGGUGGGCGGAAUUCGUGGUGUAGCGGUGAAAUGCUUAGAUAUCACGAAGAACUCCGAUUGCGAAGGCAGCUCACUGGACUGCAACUGACACUGAUGCUCGAAAGUGUGGGUAUCAAACAGGAUUAGAUACCCUGGUAGUCCACACAGUAAACGAUGAAUACUCGCUGUUUGCGAUAUACAGUAAGCGGCCAAGCGAAAGCAUUAAGUAUUCCACCUGGGGAGUACGCCGGCAACGGUGAAACUCAAAGGAAUUGACGGGGGCCCGCACAAGCGGAGGAACAUGUGGUUUAAUUCGAUGAUACGCGAGGAACCUUACCCGGGCUUAAAUUGCAGUGGAAUGAUGUGGAAACAUGUCAGUGAGCAAUCACCGCUGUGAAGGUGCUGCAUGGUUGUCGUCAGCUCGUGCCGUGAGGUGUCGGCUUAAGUGCCAUAACGAGCGCAACCCUUAUCUUUAGUUACUAACAGGUUAUGCUGAGGACUCUAGAGAGACUGCCGUCGUAAGAUGUGAGGAAGGUGGGGAUGACGUCAAAUCAGCACGGCCCUUACGUCCGGGGCUACACACGUGUUACAAUGGGGG